This is a microRNA precursor of Oryza rufipogon (brownbeard rice), 193 nucleotides long. It matches the Rfam family "MIR812 microRNA precursor family". Lineage: Eukaryota; Viridiplantae; Streptophyta; Magnoliopsida; Poales; Poaceae. The record is from Rfam.
UUUACUAUUUACGUUCAACGUUUGACCAUUUGUCUUAUUUGAAUUUUUUUAUAAUUAGUAUUUUUAUUGCUAUUAGAUGAUAAAACAUGAAUAGUGAUUUAUGUAUGACUAAAUUUUUUAAAUUUUUUUAUAAAUUUUUUAAAUAAGACGGAUAGUUAAAUGUUGGACACGGAUAUCUACGGCUAUAUUUAUU